RNAcentral lists this ribosomal RNA (2606 nucleotides) under Listeria monocytogenes. RNAcentral describes it as "partial 23S ribosomal RNA". It matches the Rfam family "Bacterial large subunit ribosomal RNA", at positions 51 to 2649 of the family's 2925-position model. Lineage: Bacteria; Bacillati; Bacillota; Bacilli; Caryophanales; Listeriaceae. The record is from RNAcentral.
GAAGGACGGGACUAACACCGAUAUGCUUUGGGGAGCUGUACGUAAGCGUUGAUCCAGAGAUUUCCGAAUGGGGGAACCCACUAUCUUUAGUCGGAUAGUAUCCUUACGUGAAUACAUAGCGUGAGGAAGGCAGACCCAGGGAACUGAAACAUCUAAGUACCUGGAGGAAGAGAAAGAAAAAUCGAUUUCCUGAGUAGCGGCGAGCGAAACGGAAAGAGCCCAAACCAAGAAGCUUGCUUCUUGGGGUUGUAGGACACUCUAUACGGAGUUACAAAAGAAAGUUAUAAAUGAAGCGGUCUGGAAAGGCCCGCCAAAGACGGUAACAGCCCGGUAGUUGAAAUGGCUUUCCCUCCAGAGUGGAUCCUGAGUACGGCGGAACACGUGAAAUUCCGUCGGAAUCCGGGAGGACCAUCUCCCAAGGCUAAAUACUCCCUAGUGACCGAUAGUGAACCAGUACCGUGAGGGAAAGGUGAAAAGCACCCCGGAAGGGGAGUGAAACAGUUCCUGAAACCGUGUGCCUACAAGUAGUUAGAGCCCGUUAAUGGGUGAUAGCGUGCCUUUUGUAGAAUGAACCGGCGAGUUACGAUUUGUUGCAAGGUUAAGCGGAAAAAGCGGAGCCGUAGCGAAAGCGAGUCUGAAUAGGGCGCAUAAGUAACAGGUCGUAGACCCGAAACCAGGUGAUCUACCCAUGUCCAGGAUGAAGGUAAGGUAAUACUUACUGGAGGUCCGAACCCACGCACGUUGAAAAGUGCGGGGAUGAGGUGUGGGUAGCGGAGAAAUUCCAAUCGAACUUGGAGAUAGCUGGUUCUCUCCGAAAUAGCUUUAGGGCUAGCCUCGAGGUAAAGAGUCAUGGAGGUAGAGCACUGUUUGGACUAGGGGCCCUUCUCGGGUUACCGAAUUCAGAUAAACUCCGAAUGCCAUGUACUUAUACUCGGGAGUCAGACUGCGAGUGAUAAGAUCCGUAGUCGAAAGGGAAACAGCCCAGACCACCAGUUAAGGUCCCCAAAUAUAUGUUAAGUGGAAAAGGAUGUGGGGUUGCUUAGACAACCAGGAUGUUGGCUUAGAAGCAGCCACCAUUGAAAGAGUGCGUAAUAGCUCACUGGUCGAGUGACCCCGCGCCGAAAAUGUACCGGGGCUAAACAUAUUACCGAAACUGUGGAUGAACCUCUUUAGAGGUUCGUGGUAGGAGAGCGUUCUAAGGGCGGUGAAGUCAGACCGGAAGGACUGGUGGAGCGCUUAGAAGUGAGAAUGCCGGUAUGAGUAGCGAAAGAAGGGUGAGAAUCCCUUCCACCGAAUAUCUAAGGUUUCCUGAGGAAGGCUCGUCCGCUCAGGGUUAGUCGGGACCUAAGCCGAGGCCGAUAGGCGUAGGCGAUGGACAACAGGUAGAGAUUCCUGUACCAGUGCUAAUUGUUUAACCGAUGGGGUGACACAGAAGGAUAGGGAAUCGCACGAAUGGAAAUGUGCGUCCAAGCAGUGAGUGUGAGAAGUAGGCAAAUCCGCUUCUCGCGAAGCAUGAGCUGUGAUGGGGAAGGAAAUUAAGUACGGAAGUUCCUGAUUUCACGCUGUCAAGAAAAGCCUCUAGGAAGAGUAGUACUGCCCGUACCGCAAACCGACACAGGUAGAUGAGGAGAGAAUCCUAAGGUGAGCGAGAGAACUCUCGUUAAGGAACUCGGCAAAAUGACCCCGUAACUUCGGGAGAAGGGGUGCUCUAUUAGGGUGCAAGCCCGAGAGAGCCGCAGUGAAUAGGCCCAGGCGACUGUUUAGCAAAAACACAGGUCUCUGCAAAACCGUAAGGUGACGUAUAGGGGCUGACGCCUGCCCGGUGCUGGAAGGUUAAGAGGAGUGCUUAGCUUCGGCGAAGGUACGAAUUGAAGCCCCAGUAAACGGCGGCCGUAACUAUAACGGUCCUAAGGUAGCGAAAUUCCUUGUCGGGUAAGUUCCGACCCGCACGAAAGGCGCAACGAUCUGGGCACUGUCUCAACGAGAGACUCGGUGAAAUUAUAGUACCUGUGAAGAUGCAGGUUACCCGCGACAGGACGGAAAGACCCCGUGGAGCUUUACUGCAACCUGAUAUGGAAUGUUUGUACCGCUUGUACAGGAUAGGUAGGAGCCGAAGAGACGUGUGCGCUAGCAUACGAGGAGGCAAUGGUGGGAUACUACCCUGGCUGUAUGACCAUUCUAACCCGCCACGCUUAGCGCGUGGGGAGACAGUGUCAGGUGGGCAGUUUGACUGGGGCGGUCGCCUCCUAAAGAGUAACGGAGGCGCCCAAAGGUUCCCUCAGAAUGGAUGGAAAUCAUUCGCAGAGUGUAAAGGCACAAGGGAGCUUGACUGCGAGACUGACAAGUCGAGCAGGGACGAAAGUCGGGCUUAGUGAUCCGGUGGUUCCGCAUGGAAGGGCCAUCGCUCAACGGAUAAAAGCUACCCCGGGGAUAACAGGCUUAUCUCCCCCAAGAGUCCACAUCGACGGGGAGGUUUGGCACCUCGAUGUCGGCUCGUCGCAUCCUGGGGCUGUAGUCGGUCCCAAGGGUUGGGCUGUUCGCCCAUUAAAGCGGCACGCGAGCUGGGUUCAGAACGUCGUGAGACAGUUCGGUCCCUAUCCGUCGCG